UUUUUCUCUGUUUUAUAUAAAUGCAUAUUUUUUAAACUUCUUUGUUAUAAAUGAUUGAAAAAAAUACAUAUAUCUAAGAAAUUUGAAAAGACAACAGAUGGGAUGUACAGAGUUAUCAAAAGUACCAGGAUUUUAAUUUAGUAUGCCAGACGUGCGUUUCGUCUACAUAAGACUCAUCAGUGACGCUCAUAUCAAAAUAAUUAUAAAGCCAAACAAGUGCAAAGUUGAAGAGCAUUGGGGAUCCAAAGUUCCAAAAAAUUCAGGUUUGUCGUAAAAUAAUUUCUUGUAUCCCGCACCCAUUUUUUUUCAAAAUUAUGACUUAAUAGCUGACCUAAUUGUUAAUAAAUUAAUAUAAAAAUAAUUACUCAAAAACUACUUAAUGUAAAUAGACAAUUUUUUCACAGUAUUAAGUUUGAUUAUCACACUUUUUAAAUUCAUUGAUAUUUUCAACUUGUAUCACAUACUUUGGAAAAAAUUCCAGAACGAGAUUUCAACGAGACUGAAACGUCAGAAGCAAUACAUCCCUAAAUCAACAAAAGUAAAGAUAACAAAUAUGCAAAACUGAUAAAUGCAGAGUAACUUUCAUUAUU
Molecule: long non-coding RNA, 590 nt
Filed under: Mytilus galloprovincialis (Mediterranean mussel)
Lineage: Eukaryota; Metazoa; Mollusca; Bivalvia; Mytilida; Mytilidae
Source: RNAcentral